RNAcentral lists this unclassified non-coding RNA (400 nucleotides) under uncultured fungus. RNAcentral describes it as "sequence contains ITS1". The record is from RNAcentral. Lineage: Eukaryota; Fungi.
AAUCCAAGAAUUUCACCUCCAACGACACAAUACGAAUGCCCCCGUCUGUCCCUCUUAAUCAUUACCUCGAACUCUGAAAACCAACAAAAUAGAACCGAGGUCCUAUUCCAUUAUUCCAUGCACCACUAUUCAGGCUGUGCGAACACUUUUAUACGCCUGCUUUGAGCACUCUAAUUUUUUCAAAGUAAAAGCACCGAACGCAUAGCACUCGCACUUAAGAGAAUGAUAUACGGUCCGGCAUUUGGUAUCGGCGACCAACGUAUGCCUGGCAUGAAGCCAAAACACGCGCCGGCACGUCAUACGACCACGAAGGACGACGACGCAUAUAACGAGAACACGCUACGCAUAACGCAACGGCUCGCCCGCCGACAACCCAGAUCCAACUACGAGCUUUUUAACC